UUGACCUCGGAUCAGGUAGGGAUACCCGCUGAACUUAAGCAUAUCAAUAAGCGGAGGAAAAGAAACCAACAGGGAUUGCCUCAGUAACGGCGAGUGAAGCGGCAACAGCUCAAAUUUGAAAUCUGGCCUCUUCGGGGUCCGAGUUGUAAUUUGUAGAGGGUGUUUCGGGCGAGGCGCCGGCCUAAGUUCCUUGGAACAGGACGUCAUAGAGGGUGAGAAUCCCGUAUGCGGCCGGUGACCGAGUCCAUGUGAAACCCCUUCGACGAGUCGAGUUGUUUGGGAAUGCAGCUCUAAAUGGGUGGUAAAUUUCAUCUAAAGCUAAAUACUGGCCAGAGACCGAUAGCGCACAAGUAGAGUGAUCGAAAGAUGAAAAGCACUUUGGAAAGAGAGUUAAAAAGUACGUGAAAUUGUUGAAAGGGAAGCGCUUGCAACCAGACCUGUGUUCGGGUGAUCAGCUGUCGUUCUCGACGGUGCACUCGCCCGUGACAGGCCAGCAUCGGUUCGGGCGGCUGGAUAAAGGCCCUGGGAACGUAGCUCGCUUCGGGGAGUGUUAUAGCCCGGGGUGCAAUGCGGCCAGCCUGGACCGAGGACCGCGCUUCGGCUAGGAUGCUGGCGUAAUGGUUGUAAGCGGCCCGUCUUGAAACACGGACCAAGGAGUCUAACAUCUAUGCGAGUGUUUGGGUGUCAAACCCAUGCGCGUAAUGAAAGUGAACGGAGGUGAGAACCCUUAAGGGCGCAUCAUCGACCGAUCCAGAUGUCUUCGGAUGGAUUUGAGUAAGAGCAUAGCUGUUGGGACCCGAAAGAUGGUGA
Molecule: ribosomal RNA, 810 nt
Filed under: Amandinea coniops
Lineage: Eukaryota; Fungi; Ascomycota; Lecanoromycetes; Caliciales; Caliciaceae
Description: eukaryotic LSU rRNA
Rfam family: Eukaryotic large subunit ribosomal RNA
Source: RNAcentral